AACCACACCUCUAAAUGAUAACAGAUAAAUGCUGUAACUCGACACACCCUAUAUCAUUUCAGCUCCAAAUCAAAAUGCACCUUAUUGUACCCAUCCUCGUGAGCGUGCUUCUUCCCAAAGCAUAUUCACUCAAAUGCUUUGAGUGCACACCAGGAGAAUCAGGAACAUGCACCGACAAGCAGACUGACUGUCUUAAUCCAGCCCAAUGUGGAAGCUCGCGGAUCAUAUCCUAUGCGGGUGAUAGAAAAUUAUUGGAUAUCAACGCGAAGUCUUGCGCGGUGUCUGCUGAGUGUCUCAGUACAUCAGUGAACUUCGGAAUCGCGCGCACAACGAUCGCCAGCAAAUGCUGAAAUACGGACCUCUGCAACUCCCAAAGCGUCCCUGAGUCCACUAAAGGCAUUCCUAAUGGCAAGACAUGUUUCACCUGUAUCGGAACGGACUGCAUGAGCACUCUGAGCUGCUUGGGAGACGAGGACCACUGCAUCUCAACAACAGUGAACACGGGUGGCGAGAAGAUAUCAAUGAAGGGAUGUGCCUCCAAGAGCAUCUGUACGGGAGACGUGUCACGAGCACUGGGGUCCGCCAUGAGCAUGGAGAUGAAGUGCUGCGAGGGCAACCUGUGUAACAACGCCCAGAGCAUCGGACUGAGCCUCCUGAUCCUGGUGACAUCCAUGGUCUCUGUCACCCUGUUCUACUGAGAGACACCUUGCCUUCACCACCUCCAUCGUAACAGGAGCCUCCCUGUCAUUGUCCCCCCCCCCCCCCCCCAUCUCCCCACGCCACUGCCCCAGUCUCCACUAUCUACCUGUUGUGUGUAUUAAUAAUGAAUGUUAUAGAAUAGCCCCUUUCACUGGAUGCUUCCUUGGGGCGUCACAUUAUGUAGGGUUAACUCAACCCCGCUAGCGUAAUGCUGCAGCCACCUGUGGAAUGCACUAUAGCCAAUUCAUUUUAGGGACAGCUCUCGCAAAAAAAUACACACCCACAACAACCCACACCUACUUCCAUCCUACAACCCCUACACACACUCACACCCAUCCUCUUCUCUCCUCAAGGCCCUGUGAGUCAGUGAGGCGUGGAUGUUUGGCGAGGCAUUUGCCAAUCUAAGCAAGUGUGGUACAUUGCUUCAAAUCAUUGGCAUUGUUAGCUUUCACCUGUUUUUAACGUUCUGAAUAACAUAGAAGGCUAUUGAAUCAAAUUUUUUACCUAGCAGAAAUAUACUUGAAAUUUAAAAUGUCACUGGAUGUGUACAGUGUUAAUGUGUUUGCUUGAUAAACAAGAUUAAUUCUGUAAAUAAAAAAAAUAUGAAAAGUAUAUGAAUCA
This is a long non-coding RNA of Oncorhynchus kisutch (coho salmon), 1320 nucleotides long. RefSeq lists it as uncharacterized. The transcript is spliced from 5 exons. The record is from RefSeq and is a predicted model, not a curated record. Lineage: Eukaryota; Metazoa; Chordata; Actinopteri; Salmoniformes; Salmonidae.